RNAcentral lists this ribosomal RNA (368 nucleotides) under uncultured organism. RNAcentral's name for it is "bacterial SSU rRNA". It matches the Rfam family "Bacterial small subunit ribosomal RNA", at positions 526 to 896 of the family's 1533-position model. The record is from RNAcentral.
CGUAGGUGGCAAGCGUUAUCCGGAAUUAUUGGGCGUAAAGAGCGCGCAGGUGGUUGAUUAAGUCUGAUGUGAAAGCCCACGGCUUAACCGUGGAGGGUCAUUGGAAACUGGUCGACUUGAGUGCAGAAGAGGGAAGUGGAAUUCCAUGUGUAGCGGUGAAAUGCGUAGAGAUAUGGAGGAACACCAGUGGCGAAGGCGGCUUCCUGGUCUGUAACUGACACUGAGGCGCGAAAGCGUGGGGAGCAAACAGGAUUAGAUACCCUGGUAGUCCACGCCGUAAACGAUGAGUGCUAAGUGUUGGGGGUCGAACCUCAGUGCUGAAGUUAACGCAUUAAGCACUCCGCCUGGGGAGUACGGUCGCAAGACUG